This 400-nucleotide ribosomal RNA is filed under the name phytoplankton environmental sample. RNAcentral's name for it is "partial small subunit ribosomal RNA". It matches the Rfam family "Eukaryotic small subunit ribosomal RNA", at positions 587 to 991 of the family's 1831-position model. The record is from RNAcentral.
AGCUCCAUUAGCGUAUAUUAAAGUUGUUGCAGUUAAAAAGCUCGUAGUUGGAUUUCAGUACGGGCCAGUUGGUCGGCCGCAAGGCCUGUUACUGACUGGUCUGUUCUUCUUCUCAAAGACUGCGCGUGCUCUUCGUUGAGUGUGUGUAGGAUUUGGGACGUUUACUUUGAAAAAAUUAGAGUGUUCAAGGCAGGCUUGUAAGCUUGAAUACAUGAGCAUGGAAUAAUGGAAUAGGACCUCGGUUCUAUUUUGUUGGUUUCUACGACCGCAGUAAUGAUUAAGAGGGACAAUUGGGGGCGUCCGUAUUUCGUUGUCAGAGGUGAAAUUCUUGGAUUUACGAAAGACGAACAACUGCGAAAGCAUUCGCCAAGAGUGUUUUCAUUAAUCAAGAACGAAAGUA